GUUAUGGUGGAAGAUGUCAUUAAAAACUACUGUUACAUCUUCCCAUAAAACAUUGUUUGUUAGUAUACUGCAUGGAUUUUUUUAUUUGAUCCUGUAGAACCAUGUUCUUGUCUCGUUUUCUCUUGCAUUACUUGCUGAUAGUGAUAUGAUAUGCAAAAGCAUUUGCCUCCGUGUUAAAAUAUAAACAUGGGAGAUAUUGUUUCCUCUAUUCACAGUUGGAACUUUGUGCUCUACAGUCCAUGAUGGUUGUGCAAGAAAAAGAACUGCAGUUGCGGGAAGGAGAGUGCAGGACCUGCAAAUACAACUGAUAAUCCUGAAGACAUACCACCUGUGGAACGCCUGACCCAGGAAACAUUACUUCUUUGGGAAAAAAUUGCUUCAGUAGAAUCCCAGGGUCAAGAAAUUUCAGGAAACCAAAGACAACAAUUAGGAGGCUUUCCCUUAGAACCUGGAAUGGAGUCUUUCCCAUAGAAGGUGCUCAAUAAAUAUUGAUUGAAUGAAUGAAGAAUACUGUUGCUGCUGAUGCUAGAAAAAGAUUAGUAGAUGAACAGAGUCAGCUCAGUGAGGACUUAGACGCAAAGAGACAGCUCUCUAGCAGUCUGGUGAAGUUCCAUGCUUAUCCAGAGAGCCUGCCAACUUUCAAACUAGAACUUCCACCAUCAUCCCUCCUGGUCCUCAGGCCUUCAGUCUCCAGCAGCAGCUAUACUAUCAGCUCUCCUGGGUCUCCAGCUUGCUGCCUGCAGAUCUUGGGGCUUCUCAGCCUCCAUCAUCACAUAAAUCAAUUUCUUCUAAUAAAACUUUUUCUGGCAUCUAUAAAUCUCCUGUUGGUUCUUUUUCUCUGGAGAAGCCUAAUACAGUGGGGACAUGGAUCAUCCCAGAGAGAACGUAGGAGUGAAGCAGGGAGCCCCAUCCUAGCAGCUGGAUCCUAGGGUCCUCCCAGAGUCUUUUCUGAAGAAGUUCCAAGUCCUACCUAAAAUCUCAAAUAAUGGCAACAGAGCCCGGUAAUGUGUUCUGGAUCCAUAGAGGAAGAGGUGUGGCUGGGUGACUUUCC
This 1051-nucleotide long non-coding RNA is filed under the name Callithrix jacchus (white-tufted-ear marmoset). RNAcentral describes it as "lncRNA (ENSCJAG00000086400.1)". Lineage: Eukaryota; Metazoa; Chordata; Mammalia; Primates; Cebidae. The record is from RNAcentral.